This 255-nucleotide ribosomal RNA is filed under the name Triticum aestivum (bread wheat). Its description in RNAcentral is "partial small subunit ribosomal RNA". The record is from RNAcentral. Lineage: Eukaryota; Viridiplantae; Streptophyta; Magnoliopsida; Poales; Poaceae.
AUGGGAAAUGCCCUACCUUUGAAAUCUACUUCAACCGAUGUGCCUUUAGGCAUGACCAUGCAUAACAUAGAAAUCACACGUGGAAGGGGUGGGCAAUUAGCUAGAGCAGCAGGUGCUGUAGCGAAACUCAUUGCAAAAGAGGGUAAAUCGGCCACUUUAAGAUUACCAUCUGGGGAGGUCCGUUUAGUAUCCCAAAACUGCUUAGCAACAGUCGGACAAGUGGGUAAUGUUGGGGUACCAAAUAAGUUUGGGUAG